RNAcentral lists this non-coding RNA (110 nucleotides) under Pygmaiobacter massiliensis. RNAcentral describes it as "FMN riboswitch (RFN element)". It matches the Rfam family "FMN riboswitch aptamer (RFN element)". From Rfam's summary of the family: The RFN element is a highly conserved domain that is found frequently in the 5'-untranslated regions of prokaryotic mRNAs that encode for flavin mononucleotide (FMN) biosynthesis and transport proteins. Lineage: Bacteria; Bacillati; Bacillota; Clostridia; Eubacteriales; Oscillospiraceae. The record is from RNAcentral.
GUUUCAGGGCGGGGUGUAAUUCCCCACCGGCGGUGAAAGCCCGCGACCACCUUUUUGGGUGCUGAUCUGGUGAGAUUCCAGAGCCGACGGUAUAGUCCGGAUGAAAGAAA